Molecule: ribosomal RNA, 490 nt
Filed under: uncultured bacterium
Lineage: Bacteria
Description: partial 16S ribosomal RNA
Rfam family: Bacterial small subunit ribosomal RNA
Source: RNAcentral
AUUGAACGCUGGCGGCAGGCCUAACACAUGCAAGUCGAACGGUAACAGGAAGACGCUUGCUUCUUUGCUGACGAGUGGCGGACGGGUGAGUAAUGUCUGGGAAACUGCCUGAUGGAGGGGGAUAACUACUGGAAACGGUAGCUAAUACCGCAUAUCGUCGCAAGCCCAAUGUGGGGGAUCUUCUGGCCUCUUGCCAUCGGAUGUGCCCAGAUGGGAUUAGCUAGUAGGUGGGGUAACGGCUCACCUAGGCGACGAUCCCUAGCUGGUCUGAGAGGAUGACCAGCCACACUGGAACUGAGACACGGUCCAGACUCCUACGGGAGGCAGCAGUGGGGAAUAUUGGGCAAUGGGCGCAAGCCUGAUGCAGCCAUGCCGCGUGUAUGAAGAAGGCCUUCGGGUUGUAAAGUACUUUCAGCGGGGAGGAAGAGAGUAAAGUUAAUACCUUUGCUCAUUGACGUUACCCGCAGAAGAAGCACCGGCUAACUCCGUG